GCCAGAGGUCUGACUAACUUUUCCAGCCCUUUGCGAACAGUGGUGUAGAGGAAUAUCUAUGCAGAAUAUCUAGAAUGAACAUUUAUGAGCAUUUGUUGUGAUUUCCAAAGAACAAGAGGACAUAACAUUUGCGAACAUUGGAGUUAUUUGGGCUUUUUUUAGUCUCAUUUUACAUACGUUAUUGUUUUGACUUCGCCUGAAGACUACUUGGAGGUCUCAUUCUUACAGAUUUUUACCGAUAUUUCGGCUCUUUCUUUUUGGAAUACCAAAACAACACUAUGAAUAUCUUCCGUCUAGCCGGUGACGUGUCCCAUCUCAUUGCUAUCAUCAUUCUAUUUAUGAAGAUAUGGAGGUCCAAAUCCUGUGCCGGUAUUUCUGGGAAGUCUCAGGUGCUUUUUGCAUUAGUCUUCACUACAAGAUACCUGGACCUGUUCACUAGCUUCAUCUCCAUCUACAACACAGUUAUGAAGGUGGUGUUCCUGGCUUUGGCAUAUGCCACUGUGUACCUGAUCUACAUGCGCUUCAGGAGCACCUACGACUCAGAGAGUGACUCAUUCCGUGUUGAGUUCCUGCUUGUGCCUGUGGCUGGGCUUUCCUUCCUGGAAAACUAUGCAUUUGCCCCACUGGAUGUAAAUGUUCCAGGUUCAAUACAUACUGUAGAUAUUGAACAUACAGAUCCUGUGGACCUUCUCCAUCUACUUGGAGUCAGUGGCCAUCUUGCCCCAGCUCUUCAUGAUCACCAAGACCGGCGAAGCAGAGUCCAUCACCACCCACUACCUGUUCUUCCUGGGUCUCUACCGAGCCCUGUACCUGGCCAACUGGGUGUGGCGCUACCACACAGAGGGCUUCUUUGACCAGAUUGCUGUGGUGUCCGGUGUGGUGCAGACUAUCUUCUACUGUGACUUCUUCUACCUUUACGUUACCAGGGUGCUCAGAGGAAGUGGAAAGAUGUCCCUGCCCAUGCCCGUCUAAAGAGUCAGUGCUGUUUUAAGCAACACUUGAGCAGUUCAGUAACUGAAAGCACCUCUGCCCUUCAAUUAUACUUCGUAAUGACUAGUCAGCAGUGUCACAGUACCCCCUGUAUACCUUGGGGGGUAUAUACCCAGAGGGCAACCGUCGUGUUGUUGGUACCUGGUGUGUUUGUUGCUUAGCCUUAGUGAAUGUGUGCUUUUCCCUAAAAUGACCAAAGAACUUUGUCCUAUGUUUUUGUGCAUGUGUGUGUGGAACUGAAUGUUAAUGGGAAUUGAGUAAAUUGAAUACUGUGGGAUUUAUUUAUUUAUUAUACUUGCCUUAUUUUCUUUCAUAGAAGCAGAUAUUGUCCCGCUUGAAGUAGUCCAAUGCAGUUUGUGCCUUAAUUUUCCUUUUCUAGUAAAUGGCAUAUUUUGAAUGUCUUAUUACAUCAAAAAUUGUGUAAACAUUGUAUAUCUGUGAGAUAUUUGUUCUGCUUUCCUGUCUUUUCACAAUUUCUACAUAUAACAGUGACCAACCUUCAUGGCUUACAUUGUUUCACCUAGCAGUGUAUUGGGAGUCUUGCAUUUAGGCUGCUAUGGGUGAUAUGUGGCAUCCUUGUCAAGAGUUAUGCUAUGUUCUUCCCUUUAUGAAAAUAAGUCCAUGGAGAUGCCAUACAGAACGCACUGUUGUGUAUGUAACUCUUAUGUCUGUCCACUUCUUGACUGAACCAAGGUUCUUCCAUUCCUUUAAUAGUAAUGCAUUUUAUUAAGCAAAACGAAUACACAUUUUUGUGAUGUCACAGUUCAUACCAAAUAUAUUUUGUAUUUGAUGAGACAUCAACAGUUAUUUCACACUAACUAGAGUUCAUUCAUAUCUCAACAUUUAUUGAGUACAUUUUUGGACCAGGAUUACAUUGGCAAAAGCAGAUGAAUGUUUCAACAAAAUGGAAAGGUACUUACACUAAGUAUCUUCAUACUAUGAACUAGAUUUGUAUAUGUGUGCCAAACCUUUACAACUAUGGUGCCCAUGUUGUAAUGAUCAACAUUGUAAUACCAAGAACCUUCAUCAUUUGUAAAUCAGGUCAAUAAAAGGCAUUUUUACUGGUUCAUCAGGUUCUUCGUGUUGAUUACUUUAAAUUUUGUUUCAUCACACCAGGAUGUUUACUCCUUCUGCAUACUCACACUAGCGAUCCACACCAUUCAAAACCACACACACAAGUGAUUCACACCAC
Coregonus clupeaformis (lake whitefish) is the source of this 2182-nucleotide RNA transcript. It is a transcript of the gene named ER lumen protein-retaining receptor 3, with no coding region annotated. Lineage: Eukaryota; Metazoa; Chordata; Actinopteri; Salmoniformes; Salmonidae. The record is from RefSeq and is a predicted model, not a curated record. The transcript has 5 exons.